Molecule: long non-coding RNA, 918 nt
Filed under: Gossypium barbadense (sea-island cotton)
Lineage: Eukaryota; Viridiplantae; Streptophyta; Magnoliopsida; Malvales; Malvaceae
Description: long non-coding RNA (GBAR_LNC011736)
Source: RNAcentral
UUUUAAAAAAAACCUAAAAUUUUCUCUGAAAGAGAGAGAGAAAGGAGAGAAGCUCCGGGCUCUAGCCUCUGUAGGCCUCGCCCCGGUCGUAGGCUUCACGCGCCCACGCCCCGCCCUAAGGACCACCGCGCACGGUGUCUAGGGUUCGAAAAACCAUUCCCUUCCUUCGCCAAUCGUCAGGUAGCCUCCUUUUUCUUUUAUUUUCUUUUAUUAUUUCUCAAAUCAAUGUAUACAAGUCAGAAAACAAAUAGAAGAAAAAGAAAAGAAUAAAAAAAAUGAUUUGAUUACCAAAAGAAACGAAAAAAGAACUGCUUUUUUAUUUCUUCUGCUCUAAAUGGAUACAACUGCUAGUAAAAUCUUUUUUCUGUAUUUUUGUUUUCUCCUCUUAUUUACAGAUUUUGCGAAAGGCUUUAUAGCCUUAGACUACUGCCUAUUUUGGAAAGAAAUCAGAAGAUUUCUUUCCAUUUCCUGCUCUAGUAUAGCUGCUGCCUUUUGCUUUGAUUUCUUUCCUUUUCUUGCAGAUACCCCAAAGAUCUCGAUGAUGGAAGGUUGCUAGCAUUGAUGGAGGCCUGAAGUCUAGUGGUGACAGAGACGAGAAAUUGCGGCGUGCUUGGUGGCGACGAUCGGGCCGUUGAAUCUGUGAGAUGAAAGGUCAUGUCAUUUGGAGUGCCUGAAACUUCUAGAAACUCCUUGCGGCGCUGUGUUCUCAAGAAACCCUAGGGUUUCCUUGUCUGUUUUUACCGUUUUGGGCCUUUUGGGCCACUUUAGUCUAGGGUCUGUUAUUUAGGCUUGGGUGUAACCUGGUUUGGUUUAAAUUGGGCUACGGGUGUAUUUUGGGCUGCUGGGGUUUAAUUCUUUUGGACUCUGUAUAUGGACUUUUAAUGGACUUUUAAAAUAGAUAAAUACUUAUUUAUUUAA